GAAAUAAUAGCUCAGUCGGUAGAGCACGAGACUCUUAAUCUCAGGGUUGUGAGUUCAAGCCCCACAUCAAACA
Molecule: transfer RNA, 73 nt
Filed under: Podarcis lilfordi (Lilford's wall lizard)
Lineage: Eukaryota; Metazoa; Chordata; Lepidosauria; Squamata; Lacertidae
Description: tRNA.Lys
Rfam family: tRNA (bases 8-65)
About the family: Transfer RNA (tRNA) molecules are approximately 80 nucleotides in length. Their secondary structure includes four short double-helical elements and three loops (D, anti-codon, and T loops).
Source: RNAcentral